RNAcentral lists this ribosomal RNA (407 nucleotides) under uncultured bacterium. Its description in RNAcentral is "partial 16S ribosomal RNA". It matches the Rfam family "Bacterial small subunit ribosomal RNA", at positions 28 to 526 of the family's 1533-position model. The record is from RNAcentral.
GGCGAACGCUGGCGGCGUGCCUAAUACAUGCAAGUAGGACGCAGUUGCGAACGGGCGAGUAACGCGUAGGUAACUACCUAUUAGAGGGGGUUAACCAUUGGAAACGAUAGCUAAUACCGCAUACUAGUAGAUGGACCUGCGUUGUAUUAGCUAGUAGGUAGGGUAAUGGCCUACCUAGGCAACGAUACAUAGCCGAGCUGGACGGGGGGACGGCCACACUGGGACUGUGGCACGGCCCAGACUCCUACGGGAGGCAGCGGUAGGGGAUGUGCGGCAAUGGGGGGAACGCUGACCGGGCAACGCCGCGUGAGUGGAGAAGGUUUUCGGAUCGUAAAGCUCUGUUGUUAAGGAAGCGGUACUUAACCAGAAAGGGACGGCUAACUACGUGCCAGCAGCCGCGGUAAUUC